GACGCUUAGCAGUGGAUCACUCUCGACUUGUGUGUCAGUGAAGAAUGCAGUUAGCUUCGAGAAGUCAAUGUGAAUUGCAGGACACAUUGAUCAUUGACACUUUGAACGCACUCUGUAGACCUGGCUGGCCUCAAACUCACAAAAAUCUGCCUGCCUCUGCCUCC
Molecule: non-coding RNA, 164 nt
Organism: Mesocricetus auratus (golden hamster)
Lineage: Eukaryota; Metazoa; Chordata; Mammalia; Rodentia; Cricetidae
Source: Rfam